Molecule: non-coding RNA, 502 nt
Organism: Nelumbo nucifera (sacred lotus)
Lineage: Eukaryota; Viridiplantae; Streptophyta; Magnoliopsida; Proteales; Nelumbonaceae
Source: RefSeq, a predicted model, not a curated record
AGGAGUCCGGUUAGAGAAGGAAGCGAGGAGCGGAGGGCACGGAUUGAGCAGUGGAACAGGGAAAGGGAGGAGAAGCAGUAAUUUCAGUUUCGAGUUUCUGUUUACUUACUGCUUGUUUCUGUCUAUGGAGAAGCUGAUUGGAAACUGAGCUGGUUUUGUUCAUUUUCUACAAAUUGAAAUAAAGAGGCUGGCAUAAUUGAGUCUCCCCCAAUUUCUGUGUUACCUGGAUUCCCAUGCCAUCUGCCAAGCUGACGACAUGCCAUGCCCCGACUCUGAUGCCUCUAUGCUCAGAGCCUGUAGCCCGGAGCUUUGAUUGAGCUGCUUUCACUGUGUCAUUUUGAAGAAGCUACUUAAAAGAAGUUUCGUUUCACUAGAAAGCCAUUAUUUUUUCUGAAGCAAAGCAUAUCUGGGCUUUUCCGAUUUUUUUUUAUCAAAUAUUGCUUAUAGGCUAUUUGGGUGCAACCCACCUUGCAAAUAAGAAUGUAACAUCGAAUCUGGCUUA